Molecule: ribosomal RNA, 85 nt
Filed under: Ursus americanus (American black bear)
Lineage: Eukaryota; Metazoa; Chordata; Mammalia; Carnivora; Ursidae
Source: RNAcentral
GUCUAGAGCCAUACCACCCUGAACAUACCUGAUCUCGUCUGAUCUUAGAAGCUAAGCAGGGUCGGGCCUGGUUAGUGCUUGGAUU